UUCGGUUAGAGCCGAUUAACGGUAUGUUUCAUCUAAGCACAUUGGAAUUCCAUGAACUCUCCUCAAUGCACGGUUGACACAUUAUGCCGGGUCAUAGUCUACGGUCUAGACAUACAUUAGCUUCUUCGUUCGGUCCUUCAACUUUCAUGUCUUAGAAUGUGAGCUUCAAUCUUGUAGAACUAUGAUACACCUUGUUAGAAAUUUC
Molecule: long non-coding RNA, 205 nt
Filed under: Trifolium pratense (red clover)
Lineage: Eukaryota; Viridiplantae; Streptophyta; Magnoliopsida; Fabales; Fabaceae
Description: long non-coding RNA (TPRA_LNC001969)
Source: RNAcentral